This is a non-coding RNA of Caulochytrium protostelioides, 73 nucleotides long. The record is from the annotation of a GenBank genome assembly. NCBI's taxonomy places the organism in Eukaryota, Fungi, Chytridiomycota, Caulochytriomycetes, Caulochytriales, Caulochytriaceae.
CCCCGGUUAGCUCAAUUGGUAGAGCGUACGACUUUUAAUCGUACGGCUACGGGUUCGAGUCCCGUAUCGGGCU